CCUACGGGUGGCAGCAGUGAGGAAUAUUGGUCAAUGGACGAGAGUCUGAACCAGCCAAGUAGCGUGAAGGAUGACUGCCCUAUGGGUUGUAAACUUCUUUUAUAUGGGAAUAAAAUGUUCCACGUGUGGGAUUUUGUAUGUACCAUAUGAAUAAGGAUCGGCUAACUCCGUGCCAGCAGCCGCGGUAAUACGGAGGAUCCGAGCGUUAUCCGGAUUUAUUGGGUUUAAAGGGAGCGUAGGUGGAUUGUUAAGUCAGUUGUGAAAGUUUGCGGCUCAACCGUGAAAUUGCAGUGGAAACUGGCAGUCUUGAGUACAGUAGAGGUAGGCGGAAUUCGUGGUGUAGCGGUGAAAUGCUUAGAUAUCACGAAGAACUCCGAUUGCGAAGGCAGUUCACUGGACUGCAACUGACACUGAGGCUCGAAGGUGUGGGUAUCAAACAGGAUUAGAUACCCUUGUAGUC
RNAcentral lists this ribosomal RNA (460 nucleotides) under uncultured bacterium. Its description in RNAcentral is "partial 16S ribosomal RNA". It matches the Rfam family "Bacterial small subunit ribosomal RNA", at positions 338 to 795 of the family's 1533-position model. The record is from RNAcentral.